This 1422-nucleotide long non-coding RNA is filed under the name Sus scrofa (pig). Its description in RNAcentral is "lncRNA (ENSSSCG00050078757.1)". The record is from RNAcentral. Lineage: Eukaryota; Metazoa; Chordata; Mammalia; Artiodactyla; Suidae.
GGAGGAGCCUGACAACGUGGAGGCUGUGCCUGCAAUUCCGGCGACUGCCACCAGAGGGGCAGCUGCGGACUCUCUUCUCUUCACCCCAAGCCAUUAUGGUCACCAUGGCAACCAGGCUGUGUUCCAACAGGUUAGCAGAACCUGCCGAUGACGCGAGACUGCAGGCUUUGGGGGGGCAUCAGCUCCAAGAUCCUGGCUCAGGACCUGCCAAAUCCCCAGGGAAGGACAUUGGCUGUCCCUCCCCUGGUCCCCAAACCUGCAGAAGGGCAUCGGGGGCUGCUGGUGCAUGGGGUCCGGGUCUCCCUCCCUGCUCGCCUGACUCAUCUUCCCAGCCCUUGUGUUUUUCCUGAGCACACCCCCCCCCACCCCCAGCCUCCGCCACAUCUGCCUGGCUGUACAGGGUCAGGAUGGAAGCAGGGCCUGGCGCCAGAGUUUCUAGAAGGAGAAUUCACCCCGCAGGGCUGUCCCCCCAACCUGCAGGGCUGUUUCCUCAAUGGCUCUGUGUCCUGUUUUGCACAGACAGGAAUUGGCAGCGUGGCUGUGAGUCUGGAUCUGGAAGCUGAGACAGCUGGAACCCUGUCCCCUCCUCAGCCCAGCUGACGGAAGACCCCUGGCCAACCCAGAGCCAGCUGUCCUUGCCUCUGGAACUGAGCUGAAGUUGCUUCCAGGUUUGCCUGUUCCCCACCCGGCCAGGAGUCCUGCCAUUAGAGAUGAGAUCCUUUGGGGUGAAAACUUCUCCAAACCAGUCUGACCCUCCGAGUACGAGUUUCUCAGAGGGUCCAGCAGGGCUGGGAUCCAGGGGCCCUGUGCACCUCAGCCAAGUUCAGAACCUCUAAGCGGCCCCAGGGCUGGCCAAGUGCAGUGGGGCGGCGGGGGGGGGGGGGGGGGGGGGGGGGGGGGGGGGGGGGGGGGGAGCGUCCCAUAGCAGGGCCUCCACCCGGCAGAUCUGGGGCAGGCCCAGCAAGCUGUAUUUACAGGCUCUCCAGGUGCCCACGGUGCAUGGGAGGGGCGCCGAGGGUGGGGCGGGUUUCCGACCGGCUGGGUGACCCAGCGUGUGGCCCCACCUCGGCUGAUCACCAACAGGUGAUGCGAAUUGCUGUGGGUGUCCGGGGAUGAUGCCUGCACGACCCCCUCGCUCGAGGGGCAGAGUCCCCCCUGAGAAAAGGAGCCGUUAAGCCCGCGGUGGCGGAGUCCCCAGACCCAGCCCCGCUCCCGAUUGGUACUGGGGACAGCGCUGGGCUAGGAGGGCGACUUCAGAGAUGACUGCGCAGCUCUUCUAGAAAAGUCUGCGCUGCGGACCCAAGCAUGCCGUGCCGGUUUUCCGCGACUCUGGCUUCCCUGGGGCCCUCGGGAGGGGGUCCUGCCGCAGAGCCGGGCCAGCUCCUCGGCCGCACCCACCUGUGGGUUGACGGACAGCCCGAG